ACACUCCUACGGGAGGCAGCAGUGGGGAAUUUUGGACAAUGGGCGAAAGCCUGAUCCAGCAAUGCCGCGUGAGUGAAGAAGGCCUUCGGGUUGUAAAGCUCUUUUGUCAGGGAAGAAACGGUGAGAGCUAAUAUCUUUUGCUAAUGACGGUACCUGAAGAAUAAGCACCGGCUAACUACGUGCCAGCAGCCGCGGUAAUACGUAGGGUGCAAGCGUUAAUCGGAAUUACUGGGCGUAAAGCGUGCGCAGGCGGUUUUGUAAGUCUGAUGUGAAAUCCCCGGGCGCAACCUGGCAAUUGCAUUGGAGACUGCAAGGCUAGAAUCUGGCAGAGGGGGGUAGAAUUCCACGUGUAGCAGUGAAAUGCGUAGAUAUGUGGAGGAACACCGAUGGCGAAGGCAGCCCCCUGGGUCAAGAUUGACGCUCAUGCACGAAAGCGUGGGGAGCAAACAGGAUUAGAUACCCUUGUAGUCCCAUG
RNAcentral lists this ribosomal RNA (475 nucleotides) under uncultured organism. RNAcentral describes it as "partial 16S ribosomal RNA". It matches the Rfam family "Bacterial small subunit ribosomal RNA", at positions 333 to 799 of the family's 1533-position model. The record is from RNAcentral.